Molecule: long non-coding RNA, 555 nt
Filed under: Phasianus colchicus (ring-necked pheasant)
Lineage: Eukaryota; Metazoa; Chordata; Aves; Galliformes; Phasianidae
Description: lncRNA (ENSPCLG00000016821.1)
Source: RNAcentral
GACGUGCUCCAGCUCCAGAACUUUGGCAAACUCUCCCAGCUUGGAGGCGGCGGCGCGGCGCACCAUGGGGGUGUCGUCAGAGCACAGGUUGCGGAAAUACCUGGGGGGGGGGACGGGGACAAUUUGGGGAGGGGGGGGGGGGGGGGGGGNCGGGGACGACCCAGAGUUGAGGCCAGGCCACUCGAACCAAAGUCAGCCUGGGGGCAGUGGGGACGGUUUGGGGACGUUGGGGGCAGUUUGGGGACGGGCAGUGGGGUCAGCGUGGCCAAAAAGCCAAGCUGGGCAACGUGGGAUUUGUCUGGAGCUGCUGCGGGGCCAACAAGGGCGGCUAUGGGGCCACCAGGGAUGGGUUGGGGCCACCACGGGGAUGGGCUGGGGCCACCAGGGGAUGGGUUGGGGUCACCAGGGGCGGCUAUGGGGUCACCAGGGAUGGGUUGGGGCCACCAGGGGCGGCCAUGGGGUCACCAGGGGAUGGGUUGGGGCCAUCAAGAGAUGGGCUGGGGCCACCAGGGAUAGCUAUAGGGUCACCAAAGGAUGGGUUGGGGCCACCAGGAG